This 420-nucleotide ribosomal RNA is filed under the name uncultured bacterium. RNAcentral describes it as "bacterial SSU rRNA". It matches the Rfam family "Bacterial small subunit ribosomal RNA", at positions 358 to 770 of the family's 1533-position model. The record is from RNAcentral.
GGAAUAUCGGACAAUGGGGGCAACCCUGAUCCAGCCAUGCCGCGUGUGUGAAGAAGGCUUUCGGGUUGUAAAGCACUUUCAGUGAGGAGGAAAAUUUGUCGGUUAAUACCCGGCAACCUUGACGUUACUCACAGAAGCAGCACCGGCUAACUCCGUGCCAGCAGCCGCGGUAAGACGGAGGGUGCAAGCGGUAAUCGGAAUUACUGGGCGUAAAGCGCGCGUAGGUGGUUUGAUAAGCGAGAUGUGAAAGCCCCGGGCUCAACCUGGGAACGGCAUUUCGAACUGUCAGGCUAGAGUAUGGUAGAGGAGUGUGGAAUUUCCUGUGUAGCGGUGAAAUGCGUAGAUAUAGGAAGGAACACCAGUGGCGAAGGCGGCACUCUGGACCAAUACUGACACUGAGGUGCGAAAGCGUGGGGAGCA